UGGUUAGGUUUCUUCCUAGGUAUCUUAUGCUUUUGGGUGCAAUUGUAAAUGGGAUUGACUCCUUAAUAUGAGGCUCUUCUAACAGCAACCUGUCAACAGCUCUUUCUAUGUCCCCUUAUUUCCCAGGUUCUACUGUGCAAACGCUGGAACGAGAACCGUGUAGACAACCUGGGGACACCCGCCCUGGAAUGUGGGUGAAAAUACUAAUUUAACAUCCCCUGUGGCACACCCAGAAGUUGGAACCUUCCGUGGUGUCAUUAGAAGAUCUUUCCAAGGCUGUGGCGUCUGAGUUUGAAGAAUCCUUGAAAGACUCUCCACCCACUUCUAUGGUCGUCUCAGAAAGCAGCGAAACUGUUUCAUCCUUGGAUUCAUUCCUCAUAACAAAAUUCAUGGAAAACAUCAGUGAGGAAGAACAAAUCAGUAUCAUCAAGGUGAGCUUCAGUAUCGUU
Molecule: long non-coding RNA, 449 nt
Filed under: Canis lupus dingo (dingo)
Lineage: Eukaryota; Metazoa; Chordata; Mammalia; Carnivora; Canidae
Description: lncRNA (ENSCAFG00020020860.1)
Source: RNAcentral